This 253-nucleotide ribosomal RNA is filed under the name uncultured bacterium. RNAcentral describes it as "partial 16S ribosomal RNA". It matches the Rfam family "Bacterial small subunit ribosomal RNA", at positions 524 to 776 of the family's 1533-position model. The record is from RNAcentral.
UACGUAGGCAGCAAGCGCUGUUCGGAGUUACUGGGCGUAAAGAGUGCGUAGGCGGUCCUGUAAGUUUGGUGUGAAAUCUCCCGGCUCAACUGGGAGGGUGCGCCGAAGACUGCAGGGCUUGAGUAUGGGAGAGGUAAGCGGAAUUCCUGGUGUAGCGGUGAAAUGCGUAGAUAUCAGGAGGAACACCUGUGGUGUAGACAGCUUACUGGACCAUAACUGACGCUGAGGCACGAAAGCGUGGGUAGCAAACAGG